RNAcentral lists this ribosomal RNA (273 nucleotides) under uncultured Lachnospiraceae bacterium. Its description in RNAcentral is "partial 16S ribosomal RNA". It matches the Rfam family "Bacterial small subunit ribosomal RNA", at positions 68 to 339 of the family's 1533-position model. Lineage: Bacteria; Bacillati; Bacillota; Clostridia; Lachnospirales; Lachnospiraceae. The record is from RNAcentral.
AGAGAUGAAGAGCUUGCUCUUCAAAUCGAGUGGCGAACGGGUGAGUAACGCGUGGGUAACCUGCCUCAUACAGGGGGAUAACAGUUAGAAAUGACUGCUAAUACCGCAUAAGACCACAGCACCGCAUGGUGCAGGGGCAAAAACUCUGGUGGUAUGAGAUGGACCCGCGUCUGAUUAGGUAGUUGGUGGGGUAACGGCCCACCGUGGCUUCGACGGGUAGCCGGCCUGAGAGGGCGACCGGCCACAUUGGGACUGAGACACGGCCCAGACUCC